UACGUAGGUGGCAAGCGUUGUCCGGAAUUAUUGGGCGUAAAGCGCGCGCAGGCGGUCCCUUAAGUCUGAUGUGAAAUCCCACGGCUCAACCGUGGAAGGUCAUUGGAAACUGGGGGACUUGAGUACAGAAGAGGAAAGCGGAAUUCCAAGUGUAGCGGUGAAAUGCGUAGAGAUUUGGAGGAACACCAGUGGCGAAGGCGGCUUUCUGGUCUGUAACUGACGCUGAGGCGCGAAAGCCAGGGGAGCAAACGGG
Molecule: ribosomal RNA, 253 nt
Filed under: uncultured bacterium
Lineage: Bacteria
Description: partial 16S ribosomal RNA
Rfam family: Bacterial small subunit ribosomal RNA
Source: RNAcentral